AAACUUUCAACAACGGAUCUCUUGGUUCUCGCAUCGAUGAAGAACGCAGCGAAAUGCGAUAAGUAGUGUGAAUUGCAGAAUUCAGUGAAUCAUCGAAUCUUUGAACGCACAUUGCGCCUUCCGGACUUGUUCGGGAGGCAUGCCUGUUCGAGCGUCAUU
RNAcentral lists this ribosomal RNA (159 nucleotides) under Planamyces parisiensis. Its description in RNAcentral is "5.8S ribosomal RNA". It matches the Rfam family "5.8S ribosomal RNA". From Rfam's summary of the family: 5.8S ribosomal RNA (5.8S rRNA) is a component of the large subunit of the eukaryotic ribosome. It is transcribed by RNA polymerase I as part of the 45S precursor that also contains 18S and 28S rRNA. Functionally, it is thought that 5.8S rRNA may be involved in ribosome translocation. Lineage: Eukaryota; Fungi; Ascomycota; Pezizomycetes; Pezizales; Pyronemataceae. The record is from RNAcentral.